GACAGAGGUGGCGAGCGUUGUUCGGAUUUACUGGGCGUAAAGCGCACGUAGGCGGCCGGGCAAGUCGGGUGUGAAAUCCCUCUGCUCAACGGAGGAAUGGCGCUCGAAACUGCUCGGCUCGAGGAUAGGAGAGGAGAGUGGAAUUCCCGGUGUAGCAGUGAAAUGCGUAGAGAUCGGGAGGAACACCAGUGGCGAAGGCGGCUCUCUGGCCUAUUCCUGACGCUGAAGAGCGAAAGCGUGGGGAGCAAACAGG
This 253-nucleotide ribosomal RNA is filed under the name uncultured bacterium. Its description in RNAcentral is "partial 16S ribosomal RNA". It matches the Rfam family "Bacterial small subunit ribosomal RNA", at positions 524 to 776 of the family's 1533-position model. The record is from RNAcentral.